This is a non-coding RNA of Chlorocebus sabaeus (green monkey), 9840 nucleotides long. The record is from RefSeq and is a predicted model, not a curated record. Lineage: Eukaryota; Metazoa; Chordata; Mammalia; Primates; Cercopithecidae.
UUAAAUAUAAAAUGGUGUUUAGCUUUCUUUAGUCUAAAAACUAAUAAAGAUAGGUGCUAAAGGAAACAUUCAUUUUACUAGAGGAUCAUAGAAGUUAAAGACUUAAAACAAACUUUGACAAUUAAGACAGCAUACCAGAAUGCAAAUGCCUGGUUAAAAUGGAUCACAUAUUCCAUCUGCACGUUAAACAAAACCAAUUGUUUGCUUGUGCACAUGGCAGGUCAGAGGCCCUGACUGUCCCACUUCCACUAAGGUGAUCCUCCAGUCAACCAGGCAUGGGCUCUUUUCCAGGAUUCUACAGCCUGGAGUAAUAAGUCAUGCCAAGCUCUCUCUGCUAUAUCCCAAAGUCCGUGCGGGUCAGCCCCUGAGGGCCAUCCAGCUGCUGUCUCCCAACACUAAGUUCACUUCGUGUCUCUCACGGCAGGGAGGAAACUUGGCAUUCCUUGGAGACUAGAAAGGAUGCAAUGAGCUUAAGAAUUUUCAAGUGCUUAUCAAUCAGCCAGCCCUUGUUCAUCCCCGAGCGGAUGUGUAGUGGUACUGUGGUAGACCCUUACUGGGCAUUCUGCCUAAUAACUAGAGUGGCACUUGUGCUUUAGUCCAUUUGGCUAUCCCUUUCACCCUGGCAUUUUAUUAACCAGAGAAAAGAAAAAAAAUAAAAUAAUAAGACAUCAUAAAGCUAGAGAAGCCCUUUGUAGGUCUUUCAACUCUCACAUCUAUUUAGAUGCAAUUGGAGCCCCACAAAGAAUGUCAGAUCAAUUUAAAGCUUGAAAUCAAAUAGUUACAGGAUUUAAGUCAGUAUUUUGGUAGAUGACAGUCAAUAAAAAUGUAGAUUAGAUAAACUACAUCUAUUAAAACCAACAGCACCGGGCUUUUCAUGAGUUAAAAAGAAAAACUCAUGUCGGCCUCAGUCCUGAGGCUACCUGACCUGACAAAACUCUUUACACUCUAUGUGUCAGAAAGAGAAAAAAUAGCAGUUGGAGAUUUAACCCAGACUGUAGGGCCCUGGCCAAGGCCAGUGGCCUAUCUCUCAAAACAACAGGAUGGGGUUUCUAAAGGCUGGCCUCCGUGUCUAACAGCCUUGGCAGCAACGGCCCUGUUAGCACAAUAAGCAGAUAAGCUAUCCCUUGGACAGAACCUAAAUAUAACAGCCCCUCAUGGGGUGGUAACUGAUGAAUAACUAAGGACACCACUGGCUAACUAAUGCUAAAUUAACUAAGUACCAAGGCUUGUUAAUGUAAAAACCCCCACAUGACCAUUGAAGUCUGUGACACUUUAAAUCUUGCCGCCUUGCUCCCAGUAUCUGACAGCCCUGUUAAACAUAACUUUGUAGAGGUGUUGGACUCUGUCUAUUCUAGCAGACCAGAUCUUUGAGACCAGCCAUGAGCAUCAGUAGAUUGGGAAUUAUACAUGGACGGGAGCAGCUUCAUCAACUCGCAAGGAAAAAGGUGCGCAAGAUAUGCGGUAGAAACCUUGGAUGAUGUUGUUGAAGCUAAGUCAUUGCCUCAGGGCACUUCGGCCCAAAAAGCAGAACUCAUUGCUCUCACUUGGGCUCCGGAACUCAGCGAAGGUAAGAUUGUAAACAUCUGUACUCAUUCUCAAUAUGCCUUUCUAACCCUUCAAGUACAUGGAGCAUUGUAUAAAGAAAAAGGCCUGUUAAAUUCUGGGGGAAAAGACAUAAAAUAUCAACAAGAAAUUAGGCAGUGUAGAAACCACAAAGGGUGGCAGUCAUGCAUUGCAGGGGACACCAGCGAGUUUCCACCUCAGUGAGCCAAGGAAACUCCCGAGCAGACACAGAGGCAUGAAAAGCAUCAUCUACUUCUUAUCGGGCAUCAGUCACAGACCCACUACUCCCUCAAAUGCUUGGGGAGGUGCCAACUUAUUCUAAAGAGGAAAAAGAUUUUCUUCAGGCAGAAGGAGGACAAACAAUAAAGGAAGGAUAGAUAAAGUUACCAGAUGGAAGAAUAGCUGUGCCACAGCUGCUAGGAGCCGCAGUCGUGCUGGCUGUACAUGAAACUACCCAUUUAGGCCAAGAAUCACUUGAAAAGCUGUUAGGCCGGUAUUUCUACAUCUCACACUUGCCAGCUCUUGCUAAAACAGUAGCGCAGCAAUGCCUUACCUGUUGAUAGCACAAUGCAAAGCAAGGACUCUCUGUGCCUCCUGGCAUAUGAGCCUAUGGAGCGGCUCCUUUUGAAGAUCUCCAAGUGGACUUCACAGAGAGGCCUAAAUGUGGAGGUAACAAGUAUUUACUGGUUCUAGUGUGUACUUACUCUAGGUGGGUGGAGGCUUAUCCAACACGAACUGAAAAAGCUCGUGAAGUAACCCGUGUGCUUCUUCAAGAUCUCAUCCCUAGGUUUGGACUGACUCUACGCAAUAGCUCAGAUAAUGGGACGGCAUUUGUGGCUGACUUGGCAUGAAGCCUGCAGCCGCUGAGACCUGGGAUGCCAAACCAAGCAUGAGGAAAAUCAUCGUUGUGGUACUUAUUUUCCUUAUAACAUGGACCUGUGUGGUAAAAGCUUCCACUGCUUCUUCCCACACAGAGAACUGGCCUCAGUGCAUACAUCAGGUCACUGGGGUAGGACAAGUUAAGGCAAUCUUUUUAUUUUAUAGCUAUUAUGAAUGCCUAGGAACUCCAAAGGGAAUCUGUUUGUAUAAUGACACCCAGUACAAAGUAUGUAAUCCAGGAAGUGACCAGCCCAAUGUGUGCUAUGACCCUUCUGAACCUCCCAUGGUCACAGUCUUUGAAGUAAGACUAAGGACUGGUCCUUUUCUAAGAGACAAAAGUAAAGUAAUAGUUGGAACAGAAGAAAGAGGGGUCCUCAAAAAUGAAACCUUAAAAUUUGAUUCCCGUGCCAUGAUUAAUAGUAAGUAGCAUGAGAUAAGAUGCAGUUUUCUAGAUUGGGAAAAAAGUUACACAGCAGAAAAUAAGUAUAUCUUUCAAAAAUCAUAUUUAUGUGAGAUGUGUCAAUACUGGUCUUGUGUCAUUUGGGCUACUUGAAAAGAAGAUUAAAAGAUCCCAUUUAGCUCCAAAAAGGAAAAGUCAGCCCCUCCUGCAUGAGCAGGAGCUGCAACCCUUUAAAAUUGGUAAUCACAAACCCCUCAGACCCAAAAUAGAAUAAAGGAAAAUACAUAACAUUAGGCAUUGAUGGAAAAGGAUCUCCUAGCAUAAACAUCCUAAUAAAAGGAGAGGUUCAAAGAUGCUCUCCAGAACCAGUAUUUCAGACUUUCUAUGAUGAAUUAAAUGUGCCAGUACCUGAGAUUCCAGAAGGAAGUAAAAAUUUGUUUUUGCAAUUAGCUGAACAUGUAGCCCAGUCUCUAAAAUUCACUUCAUGUUAUGUUUGUGGAGGAACUGUAACAGGAGAUCAAUGGCCAUGAGAAGCCUGAGAAUUAGUUCUUACAGACCCAGUUCCUGAUGAAUUCCCGGCCCAAAAGAACCACCUUGACAAUUUUUGGGUUCUAAAAGCCUCAAUUAUUGGACAGUAUUGCAUAGCUAGAGAAGGAAAAGGAUUUACUCAUCCUGUAGGGCGGCUUAGUUGUCUUGGUCAAAAUCUGUAUAAUAGUACCACAGAAACAGUUACAUGGUGGAGUUCCAAUUACACAGAAGGAAAUCCAUUCAGUAAAUUUCCAAAGCUGCAGACUGUUUGGACCCACCCAGAAUUCCACCAGGACUGGACAGCCCCCACAGGGUUAUACUGGAUAUGUAGACACAGUUUAUGCUAAGCUGCCUGAUCAGUGAACAGGUAGCGGUGUAAUUGGCACCAUUAAGCCAUCUUUCUUCUUACUGCCCAUAAAAACAGGUGAACAUUCCAGACUUCCCAGUCUAUGCUUCCCAUGAAAAACGAAGCAUAGACAUAGGUGAUUGAAGAGAUGAUGAAUGGCCCCCUAAAAGAAUCACACAGUACUAGGGACCUGCCACUUGGGCACAAGAUGGCUCAUGGGGAUAUCAGACCCCCAUCUACGUGCUCAACUGAAUCAUACGGUUACAAGCUGUUUUAAAAAUUAUUACUAAUAAAACCGGUCAAGCCUUGACUGUUCUUGCCCAGCAAGAAACUAUGAUGAGAAAUGCUAUCUAUCAAACAAGACUAGCUCUUGACUACUGGCUAGCAGCUGAAGGAGGAGUUUGUGGAAAAUUUAACCUUACUAAUUGUUGUCUACACAUAGAUGAUCGGGGCAAGUAGUUGAAGCUAAAAAUGUAACAAAACUGGCACAUGUACCCAUGCAAGUGUGGCAUGGACUUAAUCUGGGAGCCAUGUUUAGAAAUUGGUUCCCAGCAAUAGAAGGAUUUAAAACUCUUAUAAUAAGAGUAAUAAUAGUAAUAGAAACCUGCUUACUGCUCCCUUGUCUGAUACCUGUAAUUCCUCAAAUGAUAAAAAAGCUUCAUCACUACCUUAGUUCACCAAAAUGCUUCAGCACAAGUGUACUAUAUGAAUCACUAUCAAUCUAUUGCACAAAAAGACAUAAGUAGCAAAAAUAAGAGUGAGAACUCCCACUAAUAAGAAGUGAGAGUCUCAAAGGGGGGAAAUUAGGAAAGAGAGAGACCCUCUCAUAUUGUUUCAUACUCAAUACCUAUUUUAAGGCAAAAACAAGGAAGUGAAACCAAAGACAGGCAACCCAGCACCAGGUCCAAAACCAGGCAUGGGCCUGCCUGGCCUAAACCCAGUAGUUAAAAAUCAACUCAUAACUUAGAAACCGAUGUUAUUCACAGCUUCCAGACAUUGUAUAGAAGAACAUUGUGAAACUCCCUGCCCUGUUCUGUUUCACUCUGACCACUGGUGCAUGCAGACCCUGUCACGAAUGCCCUGCUGGCUCAAUCAGUCACUACUCUUUCAUAUGAAAUCUUUAGUGCUGUGAACCCUUAAAAGGGACAGAAAUGGUGCACUCUGGGAGCUUGGAUUUUGAGAUGGUAGCUUGCCAAUGCUCCCAGCUGAAUAAAGUCCUUCCUUCUACAACUUGGUGUCUGAGAGGUUUUGUCUGUGGCUCCUCCUGCUACACUAUUAUCCCUCUUUUUAUUUGCUUAAAUUAAUCCUUGGAAAAUGUCAAUAUAUAUGAUAUAAUUUUUUAUUUUUGUCUCUUUUUCCCACUAGAUUUUAAGCUUCAUGAAGAAGAGAACUUUGUCUCAUCCACUGCUAUAUCCAAAGAAGAAAGAGCAGAUCCCAGCAUUUUGUAAACACCGACACGUAUAACCGAAUAAGUUGUUAUCACCCUUAAUUCUGUCUGAGUGCCUGGUUCCCAAGGGUCCUAUCUGAUGCGGAACUCCAGAAUACGUUACAAGGAUAUUCGUUAAGAUUGUUCAGCAUUAAGAUGUAUGUCAACAGGAAAAACGGGGCUAGAGAUUUCCAAAGAGAGAAGAAACUACUGGAGAAACCUGUGCCAACAAGACCUGAAGGGAACUUGGUGAAGAAUGUCCCAUGCCCAGUUGUUCUUAGCUCUCAAGGAGUGUAGAAGAUGACCUAGUAUGGUCUGCAGAUCCAAGUGAAGUGUUACAAAGGUUAGAGGAAAAGGAGAGUUACCGAGGUAGAUCUGGACCAAAAAACAACAACAACAACAACAACAACAACAAAAACUUUCCCCACUGGGAGGGCUGAAGGGAAAUUUAGAGUCUUCAUCCAUAGUUGGGGAUACAAUAAAACUAAGCACUCCCCAAGAAACUAUGCUCACCAUCAAUUCAGAGACCAACACAACAGCAGGAUGCAGGAGGAAAUAUAAUCAGAUGAAAUCAGAGAGAGAACAAGAACACCUUCUUGAGAUACCUUCUUGGUACCCACACCUGGGACACAGGCCAUGUUCAUAAUACAGUCUAUUCUCUUCCUUGUCCUGCCCACAGGGGAUAUAUUUUGAUGGGGAAGUGUGCCCAAAGUCAUAGCUGCCUUUCUGCCUCAUCUCAAUCCCUUUGAUUCAACAAUCUAGUUUUGCUGAGAAGGGGGCAGGCUUUGAGUCAGAUAAAAAAUCUGAAAUCUGAAUCUAUAUAGUACUACUCUUCCAUAAGUAAAAAGUAUUCAGAAGUUCAUUAAUUCUGCUCAAAAUCUUGUUGAGAGAUAGUGAAAAGGGGAUUUAACAUGCCGCAAUUUAAAUCAGAGGCUAGAAGAAAUAAUACUAUUUCAGGAUAUAUACCCAAGAGGCUGAAACUUCUUAGCCUUUUUAAUGAACCAAUUAUAACAAUGGGUUGAAAUUAAGAGUCUAGUGAAUUAUAGCUUCUAAUUUUUUUCCCUCUGGAUUUUCAGUUGUUUCUUUAGGAUAGAUUCUUAGAAGUAGGAUUACUGUAUUAAAUAUUUUUGUUUAUGAGGAAUCGAAACACAUUUGAACUAUCUUAUAUUAAAGAAGGAGAUCUCACUGUGAUAUAAUUUCAGAAGUGUGUCAUGAACUCCAUUGAUGGGGAUGAUACUGGACUGCAGGCUAGGAUGUACCCAGGAACUGGGACACUGAAAAACUUUUCUCUUUAUCAUUUUGAUUGUCUGAACAUCUGCCUAUAAUUCCUCUGUUGACAAAGUAGUUUCUUCUUCCUCUCUUUAGUCUGAAUUUUACAUUAGAAUCUUUAAAUAAUCUACAACCAAUUUUAUUGUAUUAUCUAAGACCUCAGUCUCUUCAGAAAAAAAAAAGUCUCAACACCUAACCAGUUGUCCCAGCUUUCUAAUGAAUAAUUCACCUUACCUUGCUAAUUAAUGUUUCUACUUUAUUAUAUAUUAAAUUAUAUAAUAGAAUUUAUAUAUAAUCAGACUAAUUCUUCAUAUUUCUCUGCUGAUUUCAUAAUUAUAGUUUCAGAACAUGUUUUAAAAUCUGGAAGAGCUAAUCUUUCUAAAGAACUUUUUUUCACUGUUCUUAGCUAUUUUUCACCUUUUCAUGUAGUUGAAUUUCAAAAUCAGCUUGUCACAAUUAAAAAUGAAAGCUUUAGUGAUAUUUUGACUGGGAUUAGAUUAGAUUUGUGCAUUAAUUGUCGCUCCUCACUGGAAUAUGGAAUAUCUCCACAUUUACGUAUUUUGUUUUGUGUGUACAUGAGUAAUUUUUGUUUUUUUUAAAAGAUCAUACAUGAAUUUAUGAAAGUAUCAAUUAUAAGAUAUUACUUUUUUAUUUUCUAAUGUAUUAUUGCUCGUAUGUAAAAAAUGUAUUAAUUUGUUGCAUUUUUUACUAGUUCUAACAAUUUUAUCAGUAGAUUGUUUCGGCUCUUUAGUUGGUUUUUGUAUUUUAUAUAGUAUUACUUCAUAAUUUACAACAGACUUGCUCUUUUCCUUUUUACCCCUGGGCACGUGGAUCAAUGCUUCUUCUUCCUGCUUCAAUGAUAUAUGCACUUUUAGCUUGCAGUUGCAGUGCUUUCUUUUACAUGGACCCCAAGAAUUACAGUAUGCAUUGGAACAAAGCAAUCCCACAAAUGUACAUUAUUUAUAGUGUAUUGAUUAACAAUAUCUGUGCUUACAAAAAUCAAUUAAACAAGAUUACAUACUAUAGCAGUUUCCAAACAGUGCCCUAAAACUAUAAACUGUAAUUAGUGGUAUAUAGUUCAUGUGACAAAAUGUACAAACAGGCUGUAGCUCUGGUGAAAGACUCUAUUUCCUCUAACAGAUCCAUUAGUUAUUGCUCACAGUUCAAAAACUGAAUAGCUGUGUCUCCUUUUGAGAGUAAACCCCAGGUCCAGGUGUGGUGGAAAGCCUCUGCUAUCUAGAAGGAUCCAGCCAAUAUCAUCUUAAUUGAAUAUGCAUGAGUAGAGGUAGAUGCUCUGAGACCAAGAAUUUACACGAGUAGAGGUAGAUGUUCUGGGUUCACUUAUCUCUCCAUUAAGGAAAACAUCCUUCUCUUAAAUUUAUAAUUACCCAACUGAUAUUUCUAUCUAGAUAAUGAUUCCUUCUGUUCAAACACUUAAAUGUAGAGAAAAUACCACUCAGGAACAAGAUGAAGGAAUUUGGUAUCAUUUUUCCUGCAUAGAUUCCUUGGAAUCUCACAUGAGGGUUCUGUCCUAUUUAGGUUAGCCCUCUUAGAGGAGUCAGGAGCCUGGCCUUCAGUGGAUGCCAUGCCUAGGUCUUUCAUUGUUAGCCUGGUCCCCCCACAGGCUUGUUGUCAAUGGCACUGUCUUUGUUCCUGCCUUUUUAUCUCAGAGCCACUGACCUGCUAUUGCUUGAGCUGAGAUAAAAUAAUAAUAUCUGUAGAUAUUCACAGUGGUCCGAGUGGGAGGCUUGAUAUCACAGUAACUCAGAAAAAGGAUAAAAAGGUAUAGCUAGCAAACAGCAGAGUGCACGAGCUCCAACUUUAAUUGGAGCUGCUAUGUUGAACAACAAAGAAAACAGGUUGACUCAUUUGGUUUCUAUUGUACUGGAGAGAUGGGGUUAUUUUAGUAUGUGUCCUAGCUAUCCCUUCUAGAGCAUCAAAUAGAAAUAGAUUGGUCCAAGCCCUAGUGAAUGCAUUUGGCUCAUAAUAUAGUUUGCAUUUAAAUCAAAUUUAUAGUUGCCCAAAAUAGAUUCUCCAACUGCGCAGAAGUCACAUAAGUAGCAGGCAUAAUGAUAAGGGUGUUUUUUUUUUCAUGCAUUAAAAAACACAAAAAUUGCUAAAGAUACACUUUUCAAUUGUUAUCCAUCCUACUGAGACUAUUGCAAGGGUUCAGGUUCUCCUCAAUUACACUGAAAUGAUGCACUUUUGUCUGCUGUUCUUUUAAAUCCCUAUUAUCUCUAAAUGUGUUUUUCUGCAAUACUAAAAGGUGUCAAGGAAAUACCAGGAAGCUCAAAAGGUUGUUGGUUCUUUCUUUAUUUUUUCUCUGUUACUUUUUCCCCUUUUUCUUUCUUUUUAUGAGGGUUCAUGGGUACAGUUUAACUUUAUUCUUCCCAAGCAAGGGCCCUCAACUGGGACAUUUUGCUUCUUAGGGGAUCUUUGACAACGUUUGAAGACAUUUUUGGUUUUCACAACUGUGCAUGGAUGGGGAGAUUCGCUACCAGCUAGUGGGUAGAGGCCAGAGAUGCUGCUAAACAAUCUAUAUUGUAUAGGACAGUCGCCACAACAAAGAUUUAUUCAGCCCAAAUGUCAAUAAGAUUGAAAUUGUUCCAGAAGAAAAAUACAAGAUUGAUUACAAAUAUCUUUAAUAUGACUUUUAGAGAAGGCGAAUUUACAUGUUUUCACUCUAUAAUUUUGAAUUUAGAUUGGGGGAUUUGUGUCUUGUGGGGCUUAUACCAGUGGACUGUGCCUUGAAGUUGCCAACACUACUAUUUUUUAAAAAUAAGCCAUAGAUCUGAUGCCACUUUUCUAUUUCAUAUUCUCCUCUAAUAUAUUGCUAAUAUAUCUAAUUGAAAUUAUUUGUCUGUGAUGGAAAAAUAGCACUGAAAUUCUUGGCAGUUACAUUUACCUAGAAAGAGUGGUAUUUAAAUAAAUUUUAAGUUGUUUUCUAAAGAACUUUUGAUGAGAGGAUAGAAGACACUCUAUUCUAAAAGGUGGCAUCUUGGCAUUUGAAAAAGCAGCAGGAGAAGGAAGGUCACUCACACCUUCCCCUUGUGUUUCUUCCCUGAAGCAGGUCAUAAAACCUAGGGAGGACACUCACUGACCUUCCUAUGCUCUUCUUCCCUGAAGCACAUCAUAGGACUCUCAGUCAAAAAGAACUCUUCCUUUACUUAGAGGAAAGAAAUAUCCUUAUUAACAAAGACACAGAAAUACCAGAAACACUCCAAAACAAAAACAAAAACAAAAAACAGGCCCUUGUCAAGUUCCCCCUAAUUUUUUAUCAUCAGAUCGUAUCUUUUUGUCCUCCAAUCAUAUUUCUCGACUGUUCAUUCUUUAUCAAACAUAAAGAUAAAAAUACACAAGUUUACCAGUUUCUUUGAGUCUUCAUUUUCAAAGGCUCUCACGUCCUGUAAAACCUAUAUUAAAUAAAUA